GCCGGGUGUGGUAGCCCACACCUGUAAUCCUAGCACUUUGGGAGGCAGAGGCGGGCAGAUCACCUGAGGUCAGGAGUUCAAGACCAGCCUGGCCAACAUGGUGAAACCCCGUCUCUA
Non-coding RNA from Pan troglodytes (chimpanzee), 117 nucleotides. It matches the Rfam family "Metazoan signal recognition particle RNA". From Rfam's summary of the family: The signal recognition particle (SRP) is a universally conserved ribonucleoprotein. It is involved in the co-translational targeting of proteins to membranes. The record is from Rfam. NCBI's taxonomy places the organism in Eukaryota, Metazoa, Chordata, Mammalia, Primates, Hominidae.